RNAcentral lists this non-coding RNA (27 nucleotides) under Cricetulus griseus (Chinese hamster). Lineage: Eukaryota; Metazoa; Chordata; Mammalia; Rodentia; Cricetidae. The record is from RNAcentral.
GUAGUUGGCCAGCAAGCCACAGAGGAA